AGGAAGAAGAAGGAGGAGAACCAGCAGCUGAAUAGUGUCAAACCUUCCUCAAACUUAGUUAAAUUCAGAAGGUGGUGCGGUCGGGAUUGGACCAUCAUCAAGACAGGAACGACCCACAGGUGGAGCAGGUAGGUGACUUGCACCUUUCUUUUUCAUACGUUGAAUCUUGGAAUAUUUUAACUUGAGUACUACCAUAUUGUUAGAACCGAUAUUAAAUUGUCGAACGCUUAAUUGUUGAUAAAAGAGUGAUUAGCUUCGGCUAAUGGCAUCCAAACGGAUGGCCGGGACAAAGAAUGAUUAGCUUUGGCUAAUGGCGUCCGAAUGGAUGGCCGGGAUGAAGGACUGAUUAGCUUCGGCUAAUGGCAUCCAAACGGAUGGCCGGGACAAAGAGUGAUUAGCUUCGGCUAAUGGCAUCCGAAUGGAUGGCCGGGACAAAGAAUGAUUAGCUUUGGCAAAUGGCGUCCGAAUGGAUGGCCGGGUUAAAAAGGGAUGAUUUCGCUGCCGAUUGUGGAUCGGCAGCGACGCAGUUUCGCUGCCGAUUCUGGAUCGGCAGCGACACAGUAUUCGCUGCCGAUUCUGGAUCGGCAGCGAUGCAGUCUUCGCUGCCGAUACAGACAUCGGCAGCGACCCAGUUUCGCUGCCGAUUCCUUGAUCGGCAGCGAUGUAGUUUCGGCUGCCGAUUUUAGGAUUGGCAGCGACGCAGCUAUCGCUAUGGAAUCCGGAUGGAUAGCCGGGACAAAUAAACGACUAGUUUCGGCCAAUGGCAUUUGAAAACUUGUGUAUCUAUAUGUACUACUAAUUGUUACAUCAAAUACAUGAAGAAAUUAUAAAUGUUAAUGCUUAUUUAAUUGCUAGGCCGUUAGUUACCAUUAUUAUUAUUAUUAAGUAUUUGUUUUCUCUUAAAUGUUUUGUACUGCUGCAGGGACGUCACACCAACGAGAUGUCUAGGAUACCCGAUACACGGGAACCUACUUUUGCAAGGAAUUAAGUAGAUGCAUUCUAAAUCACAAUGUAUUUUGUAGGGAUCAAUGUACUGAAUGUAUAACUUUUAUUAGAUCCUUUUUGUUUAAAAAUUGUGAUGG
Molecule: long non-coding RNA, 1082 nt
Filed under: Populus trichocarpa (black cottonwood)
Lineage: Eukaryota; Viridiplantae; Streptophyta; Magnoliopsida; Malpighiales; Salicaceae
Description: long non-coding RNA (PTRI_LNC004320)
Source: RNAcentral